CCUACGGGAGGCAGCAGUGAGGAAUAUUGGUCAAUGGGCGGGAGCCUGAACCAGCCAAGUCGCGUGAGGGAAGACGGUCCUAUGGAUUGUAAACCUCUUUAGGCGGGGAGCAAUGCCGGGCACGCGUGUCCGGAGGGAGAGUACCCGCAGAAUAAGCAUCGGCUAACUCCGUGCCAGCAGCCGCGGUAAUACGGAGGGUGCGAGCGUUAAUCGGAAUUACUGGGCGCAAAGCGCACGUAGGCUGUUGUGUAAGUCAGGGGUGAAAUCCCACGGCUCAACCGUGGAACUGCCCUUGAUACUGCAUG
This 305-nucleotide ribosomal RNA is filed under the name uncultured bacterium. RNAcentral describes it as "bacterial SSU rRNA". It matches the Rfam family "Bacterial small subunit ribosomal RNA", at positions 338 to 639 of the family's 1533-position model. The record is from RNAcentral.